This 276-nucleotide ribosomal RNA is filed under the name Triticum aestivum (bread wheat). RNAcentral's name for it is "partial small subunit ribosomal RNA". The record is from RNAcentral. Lineage: Eukaryota; Viridiplantae; Streptophyta; Magnoliopsida; Poales; Poaceae.
GUUGGAUUUUCCUAGAAUAUUGGCAAUGGUAAGAGGGUGAGAUUCUGGGAGGAUCAUUAGUUUGGUAAUGGUACCUUAGCUACCCAGUAUUGGGAUAUUUAUGUCUUAGUUAAUGAGCAUAAUAUAACUAUUGACAAGAUCUGGAAUGGAGACACCCUUAAGCUAACAUUCAGGAGAUGUUUUUCUCAUGAGCUUAUGGCCCUAUGGUUUGAGCUACUAGAAAUUGUUAACUCUAUCCAGUUCAAGGUUCAAGAGGUUCCCUGGUCUGGAAUAUGA